RNAcentral lists this ribosomal RNA (496 nucleotides) under uncultured bacterium. RNAcentral's name for it is "partial 16S ribosomal RNA". It matches the Rfam family "Bacterial small subunit ribosomal RNA", at positions 29 to 507 of the family's 1533-position model. The record is from RNAcentral.
AUGAACGCUGGCGGCGUGCCUAAUCCAUGCAAGUCGAGCGAACGGACGAGAAGCUUGCUUCUCUGAUGUUAGCGGCGGACGGGUGAGUAACACGUGGAUAACCUACCUAUAAGACUGGGAUAACUUCGGGAAACCGGAGCUAAUACCGGAUGAUAUUUUGAACCGCAUGGUUCAAAAGUGAAAGACGGUCUUGCUGUCACUUAUAGAUGGAUCCGCGCUGCAUUAGCUAGUUGGUAAGGUAACGGCUUACCAAGGCAACGAUGCAUAGCCGACCUGAGAGGGUGAUCGGCCACACUGGAACUGAGACACGGUCCAGACUCCUACGGGAGGCAGCAGUAGGGAAUCUUCCGCAAUGGGCGAAAGCCUGACGGAGCAACGCCGCGUGAGUGAUGAAGGUCUUCGGAUCGUAAAACUCUGUUAUUAGGGAAGAACAUAUGUGUAAGUAACUGUGCACAUCUUGACGGUACCUAAUCAGAAAGCCACGGCUAACUACGUG